GGAGGUGUAGCUAAGUGGUAAAGCAGUGCUUGCCUAGCAAGUAUGAGGUUCUGGGUUCAAUCCCCAGCACCACAC
RNAcentral lists this transfer RNA (75 nucleotides) under Heterocephalus glaber (naked mole-rat). It matches the Rfam family "tRNA". Rfam says of the family: Transfer RNA (tRNA) molecules are approximately 80 nucleotides in length. Their secondary structure includes four short double-helical elements and three loops (D, anti-codon, and T loops). The record is from Rfam by way of RNAcentral. Lineage: Eukaryota; Metazoa; Chordata; Mammalia; Rodentia; Bathyergidae.